UCCUACGGGAGGCUGCAGUGGGGAAUAUUGGACAAUGGGCGAAAGCCUGAUCCAGCAAUGCCGCGUGAGUGAUGAAGGCCUUAGGGUUGUAAAGCUCUUUUAACGGGGAAGAUAAUGACGGUACCCGUAGAAUAAGCCCCGGCUAACUUCGUGCCAGCAGCCGCGGUAAUACGAAGGGGGCUAGCGUUGCUCGGAAUCACUGGGCGUAAAGGGUGCGUAGGUGGAUCUUUAAGUCAGGGGUGAAAUCCUGGAGCUCAACUCCAGAACUGCCUUUGAUACUGGGGAUCUUGAGUUCGGGAGAGGUAAGUGGAACUGCGAGUGUAGAGGUGAAAUUCGUAGAUAUUCGCAAGAACACCAGUGGCGAAGGCGGCUUACUGGCCCGAUACUGACACUGAGGCACGAAAGCGUGGGGAGCAAACAGGAUUAGAUACCCGGGUAGUC
This 441-nucleotide ribosomal RNA is filed under the name uncultured Bradyrhizobiaceae bacterium. Its description in RNAcentral is "bacterial SSU rRNA". It matches the Rfam family "Bacterial small subunit ribosomal RNA", at positions 337 to 795 of the family's 1533-position model. Lineage: Bacteria; Pseudomonadati; Pseudomonadota; Alphaproteobacteria; Hyphomicrobiales; Nitrobacteraceae. The record is from RNAcentral.